This is a long non-coding RNA of Asparagus officinalis (garden asparagus), 1347 nucleotides long. RefSeq lists it as uncharacterized. The record is from RefSeq and is a predicted model, not a curated record. The transcript is spliced from 9 exons. Lineage: Eukaryota; Viridiplantae; Streptophyta; Magnoliopsida; Asparagales; Asparagaceae.
GUAUAACCCCUCUUCACCCGAUCAAAAAAAAGAAAUCAAACACCUCUCCUCGACGAUCUCCUCUUUCCUCUGUGACCUCACCUCUUCUCAACAGAGCAAAACCGCAGCCUCCUCUUCAGUCACGUUCGCCCGCCAACCUUCUCACCCUCGUUUUCCUCCUUGAUGUCUUCACCAUCUUCAUCCUCUCCUCCCUCUUCUCCUUCAACCCCGACCCUAAUCUCCUACCCCCUCGACGGAACCCUAACCCUAGAUUGGAUCUAAACCCUAACCUCGAUGGGGCAAAACCGCAGCUGAGCCCGAGGACCUUUGCAUCCUCAGCUAGGAUAUCUUUUGUACUCCGGAUUAUAUAACGCCAGAAAUGUCGAAUGGAUUUGAGUUCAAUAAGGUUUUUGCUUGUUUAGGAGAGCAAUGCUUGCACUAAAUCACCAGAGAAGUCGGUUAGGAAUAAGAGGCACAGAAAGGAUGUUAAAUAUGGAAACCUGGCCGAUUGCAACAUCCAGAAGGAGUCGACGCUCCACCUCGUCCUCCAUCUCCGCGGUGGCGCCAAGAAGAGGAAGAAGAAGAAGAAGGAGAGACGAGGAUUCCUUGCUGAACUCCAAAUGCCCGAGGCAUCUGGAAUUGAAAUGGCAGAGUGAGAUUAGCUCAAGCAUUUACGCCACUCCCUUGGUUGCUAACAUUAAUAGGGCUUCGGAUUUUCCGUGGGAAUAUGAUGGUGCUUGUCUUCAGAUGCGUGUAUCAUAUACCCCAGCUGCCCAAAUCGUUCUUUUUCUGGUCUAGUGGACAGACUGUAGAUUUGCAGGGGCUCUUGGUUUGAUGAGGAUCUUAAUGUAUAAGGUUUAUGUCAACGGAAGAACGACUAUGUCAAUCUAUGACAGAAAAGCAAGUAUCAAGGAGUUUUAUGGGGAUAACUGAUAUGGAGGAUAAAAAACAAAAAGCAGUGUGUAUGAUACAGAAGGAGAGAAGAUGAUGAUAUGAGGCUAUUAUCCGAUAUAGAUGAUGAAAGUGAAGAAGCAUGUGGGAUCUGUAUGGAAAUGAACAACAUGGUUGUACUACCCAACUACAGCCAUGCUAUGAGCAUGAAAUGCUAUCAUGAAUGGAAAACAUCUGAAGAUCCAUGCUUAUCGCUCUUUGUGGGAUUUAUUUGUUGUGAAGAUUUAGAACUUAAUCGUCUUAAUAGAGACAUUUUGAUCUUUUGAUUAAGCAGUAGCUCUUUGUUUUAAUCAUGGAGGAAUUGUGAUAUGUGAUUUGAACAAAAGUAAAAACUUGUGAUGAAUCUCAAUCCUAAUGCUGUAAUAUUGUUCUUCGUUGUAAUGAAUUGUUCAUUAUAUUAAGACUAAAGUUUGGUUA